Molecule: ribosomal RNA, 450 nt
Filed under: uncultured bacterium
Lineage: Bacteria
Description: partial 16S ribosomal RNA
Rfam family: Bacterial small subunit ribosomal RNA
Source: RNAcentral
GUGGGGAAUAUUGGACAAUGGGCGAAAGCCUGAUCCAGCCAUGCCGCGUGUGUGAAGAAGGUCUUCGGAUUGUAAAGCACUUUAAGUUGGGAGGAAGGGCAUUAACCUAAUACGUUAGUGUUUUGACGUUACCGACAGAAUAAGCACCGGCUAACUUCGUGCCAGCAGCCGCGGUAAUACGAAGGGUGCAAGCGUUAAUCGGAAUUACUGGGCGUAAAGCGCGCGUAGGUGGUUCGUUAAGUUGGAUGUGAAAGCCCCGGGCUCAACCUGGGUACUGCAUCCAAAACUGGCGAGCUAGAGUACGGUAGAGGGUGGUGGAAUUUCCUGUGUAGCGGUGAAAUGCGUAGAUAUAGGAAGGAACACCAGUGGCGAAGGCGACCACCUGGACUGAUACUGACACUGAGGUGCGAAAGCGUGGGGAGCAAACAGGAUUAGAUACCCUAGUAGUCC